CCUACGGGAGGCAGCAGUGGGGAAUUUUGGACAAUGGGCGCAAGCCUGAUCCAGCAAUGCCGCGUGAGUGAAGAAGGCCUUCGGGUUGUAAAGCUCUUUUGUCAGGGAAGAAACGGUGAAGGCUAAUAUCCUUUGCUAAUGACGGUACCUGAAGAAUAAGCACCGGCUAACUACGUGCCAGCAGCCGCGGUAAUACGUAGGGUGCAAGCGUUAAUCGGAAUUACUGGGCGUAAAGCGUGCGCAGGCGGUUUUGUAAGUUUGUCGUGAAAUCCCCGGGCUCAACCUGGGAAUGGCGAUGAAGACUGCAAGGCUAGAAUCUGGCAGAGGGGGGUAGAAUUCCACGUGUAGCAGUGAAAUGCGUAGAGAUGUGGAGGAACACCGAUGGCGAAGGCAGCCCCCUGGGUCAAGAUUGACGCUCAUGCACGAAAGCGUGGGGAGCAAACAGGAUUAGAUACCCUGGUAGUCCACGCCCUAAAACGAUGUCUACUAGUUGUUACGGGUUUUAAUUAACGUUGGUAACGCAGCUAACGCGUAGAAGUAGACCGCCGUGGGGAGUACGGUCGCGAAGAUUAAAACCGCGAAAGUAGUAGUAGACGNGUAGAGAGACGACGACGACGACGACGGAGGAGGAGG
Molecule: ribosomal RNA, 633 nt
Filed under: uncultured bacterium
Lineage: Bacteria
Description: bacterial SSU rRNA
Rfam family: Bacterial small subunit ribosomal RNA (bases 1-547)
Source: RNAcentral